GGCUGUAUAGCCUAACAUCAAGGCAUUUGAAUUGCAAUCAGAUCAUGUAUUUUUUAUACU
This 60-nucleotide transfer RNA is filed under the name Perinereis nuntia. RNAcentral describes it as "tRNA-Ala". Lineage: Eukaryota; Metazoa; Annelida; Polychaeta; Phyllodocida; Nereididae. The record is from RNAcentral.